GUGGGGAAUAUUGGACAAUGGGCGAAAGCCUGAUCCGGCCAUGCCGCGUGUGUGAAGAAGGUCUUCGGAUUGUAAAGCACUUUAAGUUGGGAGGAAGGGCAGUAAGUUAAUACCUUGCUGUUUUGACGUUACCGACAGAAUAAGCACCGGCUAACUUCGUGCCAGCAGCCGCGGUAAUACGAAGGGUGCAAGCGUUAAUCGGAAUUACUGGGCGUAAAGCGCGCGUAGGUGGUUUUGUAAGUUGGAGGUGAAAUCCCCGGGCUCAACCUGGGAACUGCUUUCAAAACUGCUGAGCUAGAGUACGGUAGAGGGUGGUGGAAUUUCCUGUGUAGCGGUGAAAUGCGUAGAUAUAGGAAGGAACACCAGUGGCGAAGGCGACUACCUGGACUGAUACUGACACUGAGGUGCGAAAGCGUGGGGAGCAAACAGGAUUAGAUACCCCGGUAGUCC
RNAcentral lists this ribosomal RNA (450 nucleotides) under uncultured bacterium. Its description in RNAcentral is "bacterial SSU rRNA". It matches the Rfam family "Bacterial small subunit ribosomal RNA", at positions 354 to 796 of the family's 1533-position model. The record is from RNAcentral.